Molecule: long non-coding RNA, 1062 nt
Organism: Cyprinus carpio carpio
Lineage: Eukaryota; Metazoa; Chordata; Actinopteri; Cypriniformes; Cyprinidae
Source: Ensembl
GCAAAGAUGGCGGCGUCCAAAACUGCAAAGUCUGAUCACAUCUGACACGACGGAAGUUCAAUCGAGACGCGACUGAUGCUCGCGCCCCCUGGUUUAGACAGUUUGCAAGAAUGUUUAGCGUCCGUGGUAUGAAAAUGAUCGCUGCAAGACUCUGGCAGAGUGAACGAGGUUUGAGAGAGUCGUGAGCAAAAGGCGCGGGCGCAGCCUCCGUGUUGCCAGAUCCAGCUGUUAUAAACCAGGCAUUAAUGAGUUAGUGCUCAGGCACCUCAUGAAAUCUCAGCAUUAAUGCUGCUCUGCAGUGGCACAACCCCGCAAACAUCAGGACACAUGUAACUCCACUGUCGCCUCUUUGAAGCAGCGAUGAAUGUCGCCAUGGGCAACCGAGACCAUACACACUGCCUCUCUCUUAAGGGCUGCAGACUUCUGAAAAUCAGCCUUUCUAAACAUGUCACUAAUUUUUAUCUCAGACAGAGAGGUCCAUUUGUUACAUAGUGAGCCUUCAACAAUAACCAACCUUCCACUUAGUAGACCUUGUUUUCUCUUACUCUCUAUUUAACCCUGGUGUGUUUUGUACAGUGUGUGUUUAGUGGACGACAGCUGACUGGAUUCAUUUGAGUCCUUCAUGCAUUAGAGUCUUGGAACAGCCAUUUUUGCUUUUUUCUUUUCAUUUCUCCAGCCCACCACAUCUUAUAAGCUUUCAGUGCGCAAACCACUUCUUUAGUUUAGUUUCUACACUGUGUAGAAGACUUGCAAGUGUUAGAGGAAGGGAUUUUCUUUUUUAGUUUUCGUUGCAGAAGACGGAGAUUUUGCAUGAAAUAAAAGAUGCACUUUUUAAUUCCUAAAGUGGACAGUUUCUGCAAGAUCUUAAAUGGUCAAAAAAACACAUAAAAGUGCAUUGUACAAAAGUAAAUAAAAUCUACAAGUACGUUAAAUGCACGUUAGAGCAAGCUCUUGUGGAGCGUUUCAUGAAUAGGAAUAUCUAACAUUUGUUUUGAGAGUGUAGAGAUUGCCAAAUCAGUUUGAAAUACAGCAAGUUAUAUUUCUGAACAGUUGCCAUUGGCU